AACGUAGGAGACAAACGUUAUCCGGAGUUACUGGGCGUAAAGCGUGCGUAGACGGUUAUGUAAGUCGGGUGUGAAAGCCCCGGGCUCAACCUGGGAAUGCCAUUCGAGACUGCAUAGCUAGGGUGCGGAAGAGGGAAGCGGAAUUUCCGGUGUAGCGGUGAAAUGCGUAGAUAUCGGAAGGAACACCAGUGGCGAAAGCGGCUUCCUGGUCCAGCACCGACGUUCAGGCACGAAAGCGUGGGGAGCAAACAGG
Molecule: ribosomal RNA, 253 nt
Filed under: uncultured bacterium
Lineage: Bacteria
Description: partial 16S ribosomal RNA
Rfam family: Bacterial small subunit ribosomal RNA
Source: RNAcentral